This 500-nucleotide ribosomal RNA is filed under the name uncultured bacterium. RNAcentral's name for it is "partial 16S ribosomal RNA". It matches the Rfam family "Bacterial small subunit ribosomal RNA", at positions 30 to 523 of the family's 1533-position model. The record is from RNAcentral.
AUUGAACGCUGGCGGAAUGCUUUACACAUGCAAGUCGAACGGCAGCACGGACUUCGGUCUGGUGGCGAGUGGCGAACGGGUGAGUAAUGUAUCGGAACGUGCCCAGUCGUGGGGGAUAACGUAGUGAAAAUUACGCUAAUACCGCAUACGAUCUAUGGAUGAAAGCGGGGGAUCGCAAGACCUCGCGCGAUUGGAGCGGCCGAUAUCAGAUUAGGUAGUUGGGGGGGUAAAGGCCCACCAAGCCAACGAUCUGUAGCGGGUCUUAGAGGACGACCAGCCACACUGGAACUGAGACACGGUCCAGACUCCUACGGGAGGCAGCAGUGGGGAAUUGUGGACAAUGGGCGAAAGCCUGAUCCGGCCAUUCCGCGUGCAGGAUGAAGGCCCUCGGGUUGUAAACUGCUUUUGUACAGAACGAAAAGGUUUCUACUAAUACUAGGAGCUCAUGACGGUACUGUAAGAAUAAGCACCGGCUAACUACGUGCCAGCCGCCGCCGUAA